RNAcentral lists this long non-coding RNA (5266 nucleotides) under Capsicum annuum. Its description in RNAcentral is "long non-coding RNA (CANN_LNC020975)". The record is from RNAcentral. Lineage: Eukaryota; Viridiplantae; Streptophyta; Magnoliopsida; Solanales; Solanaceae.
UCUACUAUAUCUCAUCUUUCUCAUUUCUAAUCCGAUUGCUUUACAAAAUUUCAUGGGCAGAAGAAUUUGCACCAUGUCCUACUUAUAAUCUCCUCAAACGGGCAGAAAGAUCAAUGAACACAUCCUCUUUGCAAUGUAUUGUAAGAUCACCCGUUGGAUGAUCAAAGCCAAACUCUUCUUCAGCUUGAGCUAGCAAGUCUUGAAAUGAUGGUUGGUUCAAGUAUGAUACUGGCACGACAAAUCUCUUCUUUUGACUCUCUCCUACAUAUACGGCACAAUGACCUUUUGGAACACCUCCUGAUGUUGAAGACUUCCUUAGGAUUCCCAUUAUCACAAGGUAUAUUUGGUACACUCUAAAUGGUGACGGAAAAGAAAGAACAAGAAUUUGGAGAACUGCACAGAAAAACUACGUAUACUGCACAAUGACCUUUUGGAACAACUCCUGAUGUUGAAGACCUCCUUAGGAUUCCCAUUUUCGUAAGGUAUGUUUGGUAAACUCCAAAUGGUGAAGGAAAAGAAAGAACAGGAAUUUGGAGGACUGCACAGAAAAAAGAAAGUUUGAUUAACUGUCUAGAUACUUCUGGUUUGCUCAAAUGUUUUGUGUCCGAGUAUAUAUACAAGUUAACGGAAAGUUUGAUACGGAACGGGUGAGAGACAAUGGCACAUGAAGUUUCACAUGGUUUUGCCUACUCCAUUAUUAUUGUCAAAAUAUCAGGCCAUUUAUUGAUGACUUAGUCCUGGACCACUUGAUUUGAAGAUAUGGUGACAGAGAAUUGAAUAAAUGCAUCAACCUCUAUAAUUAAAACUAGACAACUUAUAAUCCUUCAUCCUUCCAUCCACAAACUUAAGGUCCCGUAUAAGCAUAGCCAACUAGCAUCAGCACAUGGCUUUGCCCUCGGUGGUUAGUGACAAAAACUUCAGCUCCAACCCAAAGCCUGUCUACAACUUUUAUAUCAAUAACCUCCCUUCUAUGAACAUUUUUCAUUAUCAAUUUAGACACCAAAUUGUUCUAAAUUUCUAGUUUACUUUAUUGUUCCCAAUCUUCCAAGAAAAAUGGCAAUUCUCAGUGAUAAGAAACUCAGCAAGAUGGCCAGGAGAUGGCAGAAAUUUGCAGCAAAGCAGAGGAAGAGAAUUUCUUUUGCAAGAAAUGGUAGUAAUACCGAUAGUUGUAGUACAUCUUCAUCCUCUCUAGUUGAAAAAGGCCAUUUUGUAGUCUGUACAAUUGAUCAAAGGCGCUAUGCAUUUCCCUUGACUUACCUUGAAAAUGAGGUCGUUAGGCAACUUUUAAGCGUCUCCGAAGAAGAGUUUGGACUACCAAGUGGUGGCCCUAUUAUAUUACCCUGUCAUUCAACCUUCAUGGACUAUACCAUUUCACUAAUCAAGAAAGGUGUAGCUGAUGGAGUUCUUCACAACGCGUUGCUCCACACAAUACCUUCAUGUUGCUUCUCAACUUCUUCUUGCCACCAAGAAACUGGAAAUCAACAGAUUCUUGUUUAUUGAGUCAUGAAAUCAUGUUUUUGUAAUGUUAGCUCAAAAUAGAUUGUAUAGCAAUUAGCAGGUGAAAGUAGACAACUGAAAGCUUGUAUUAUUACAGAUCGGAAUAGAGCCUUUGUCUUGAAAUUAACAUUCUCAUCUUGGAGUAACACUAUUAUCUUAUUUGAAGAAAACAACUUUGUCGAUCGAAAUUUACAGACAUAUGAAUCACGCCAACGCAAGUCUAAAUGACAAGAGAAUUAACUGUAAAAAGUUUAAAUUAAGUGAGAUCAUAAAGUAUUCCUCUUUCAGAUUUUUAGCAGUUAAUUUUUAUACUUGAUCAAUCUAGAUUGAAAGGAAGCUGCGAAUUACAACAAUCAUUUAGAAUGUAAUGACAAAGCUCAGUGGUUACUCCUACAUUAUACUAAUCGGCCGCCACUUUGAUUCUUCUUUCUGGUAAUGUUUUAUUCAUAUCCAAAUGUACAAAUAAAUCUUACAAUAGUCACAAAUAUAUCAAGCUAUUUACACAGUAAUUCUCAAUUAGCUUAUGACUCGGAUGUAAAUAAGUCAUACAUCAAGACACUUGGGGGUCGGUCCAUCCCUAGAAACACGGGAUGCUUUGUGCUCCGGGAUGCCAUUUUAUCAAGACAUAUUGCAAGACAACUGUUGAAAUCAAGUGGUUUAGCAAGUUGUAAUGAUCAAGAAGACUUAGAAUAGCACAUUUACGUAGCAUUACAAGAUCAUGGUCUCCAAUAUGUUUAGUGGAAAUAAAGAAUAAAGAAGCCUCAAGUUUAAACUAGUUAUGUAGAGCCUUUACGAUGUCCUAUUUGGCCAACAUACCUUUCUCUUGCUUCUUUGAUAGAAGUGCCACGACCCGAACCAGGGACCUAGCCGUGACGAGCAUUCCGAACCAUGAAGGCCCGAAACACCCCUAUUUGUUUGAUAAUCAUGUACAUAACUCAUAUGAUAAAAGAAAUGUGGAAGAUAAACGAUAUUACGGAAACAUGGUCAAGAAUCAUAUGAAAUCAAUAAUGGGGAAUAAUGUCCCACAAUCUCAACACAAUAUCUCUAUAACGUCUGUGAAAUCUCUACUACAUGACUGAAACAAAUAUCUAUCUGCAAAACUGGGACAAGGUCCCUAGUAGACCCAAAACUAAUAAAUGAUAAGUGAAAAUGCCAGAUAUCAGGCCUUUUGAAAUAUAGAAGGCUCACCAAGUGACUCUGCAAAUCUGUUUAAGGAAUCUAAUGAUUUUCUGGAUCCCUAGACUGUGCCUCCGAACCUGGGAGGGAAGGGGAUCAAUACAAAAGUACUGGUACGCAGAGAUAUCAAAACAAAACAUAAUAUUUUUACAAAUUAUAGUUGAGAGCCAUUAUAAAGCAGUUUCAUGUCAAAUUAUUUGAAAACACAUGUGCGUAAUGUAGUUGUUUUCAACAAUAAUGUAAUGCAGCUGAGCUAGCUGGAAUACCCUACAUAUCACAUUUACACCAACUAUCAACCCUCGGUUGCCGCCGAGAUUAGAGUAUAAGUGAGGGGAAGAAACACAAGAUCACACAGGGUGUCUCGACCCAAUGGUAGUGCACAAGAUCACAAAGCAGGGCUCCUAACCAUAGUCCCAACUUGGGAAUGACAUAAAUUCAGGUAAGCAAUAUCACAAAGUAGGGUACCAAAUUCCCAUGUCAGCAAACCCAGUUUCCAGCGAUGAGCCCUUACACUCAAACGCCUUCUUCGGGCAUCCACCUAUCUCAUGUAAAAUCAAUGCAUUCAAAUUUCAUCUGAUUCAAUCACAUAUCAUAUUCUGUAGGGUAUCGUCAUACCCGACUUGCAUACCAUCAAUAUCACAUCAUUCUUCUCAUUCAACCAUUGUAUUCAACAUGUUUCAACGCAAAUAGCCUUCUCGUUUUCAAGUCAAAAUCAUAUCAAUUCUCAAAACAUUUCAUGUCAUGCUUUUCAAGACGUUUUCAAACAAUUUAAAUCUUAUGAAAAUAUAAAACAAGUUCACAUCAAGAGAGGGAUUCCAUAUAAUUCAUGCUCUCAAAUUAACACCUUUUCAAAACACAUGCAUAUACAUAUAUAAUAUGUCAAAUCACUUCGAAAAUAGGCCUAAAGACCAAAUCAAUAUUAUAGAAACAUUCAAAACAUGAUUAUAUUUGUAGUUUAGAAACCCCCAUUGUAAAACAUGAAUUUAAAGGCCCAUGAGAUUUUAGGAUAACCCCACGUACCUCUAUAUGCGAUGAUGAUAGGUGUUUUUUGAAGCCUAUGUUCUGGGGAUUCCAAAUAUGCAAUUAGUUUCAAAAACCCACGGUUGAAUCUUGAGUUGCUUGGGUUUUUAUUUUGAAACCCUGAGGAGAUUUCUUGGGCAAUUUUGAUGAAUGAAGGUAAUUUCAUAUUUAUGGCUAAAUAAGGGUGGGAAAAGGACCAUUUUGAUCCAAAAAAGGAGUAUUUAAGUUACUUGAGUAGUAAUGUAUGUGGCACACACCUUAUCGCAUAAUAUAGGUUGUGCGGUGCAUUCUUUAUCGCACACAUUAGGUUGUGCACCGCACACCUUAUGGCAUAAGUUAGGGUGUGCGUUGUACACCUUAUGCUGCACGACACACUCAACUUUGCAAAGCCAUAACUUCUUCCUCGGGUGUCGGAUUUUUGCGAAAUUGGUAUCAUUGGAAAAAUAAUUCGAAGGCCUUUCAUUUGAUAUGUAGUAGGCACUCUAAUUCAAUAUAUCUUAAGAGUAAUGACCGAUUGAAUUUGACCCAAGUUUUGACGCUUACUAAAACACAAUCGAUGGAAAAGCUUUCCACUCGUCCUUGAAAUAGGGGACCUCUAUGAUCUCAAUUCAUGCUCAACUAGAUUUAUACACCACAUAGUUGAUUAAAACACUAUAUUCACAAUAGAUUUAUAAUGCUUGGAAUGUGUACAAGUAGAAAUGACAAUUUACGUUCAAGUCUGAAAGUAUGGGGUGUUACAAGAAGUGACAGAAAACACAACAAAAGAAAGCAUCAAAUUCAGCAAAUCCCCUAAUUCCAGAUAGAUAGGUCAAGAAUCUUAACUGAACUCACAAUCAUCUUAUUUCACAACUCAUUUUCGCUUCUACUAAACAUGAUAUGGAGUUCACAUUCCCAGAAAAAUUUGAGAUUUACUAUACAUCGGGGAAUUCGGAGCAUGUUGAAUUACCAGUUUUAACAUACAACCACAAAGGAGGGGUCCAAGAAACUGUAACUAGUGAUAGUAGUACUUAAUUGCAUGUGUCGAUUUAGCCAGCAGAAAAGUUGUGCAAAAUUUCAGGCAUAUUUAUCUACUGAAUGAGGAGACAUGAACGAACAAAAGGUUCUAGCAAAUUUGCUUAAAUAAAACUUGGGUAUAUCCAUUUUACAGGAGGUUGGUCAGUUUAACUCAACUUUACAAGAACAUUAUUCUUGUUUACUAUUACUAUACGAAAUGGUUAAGAAAAAAACAAGAAAUUGCUUUCUCGAUGUCUACUAUCUGUAUAGCUUUGUCAUUUCUAAUCCUAUUGCUUUACAAAACUUCACGGGCAGAAGAAUUUGCACCAUCUCCUACUUAUAAUCUCCUCAAACGGGUAGUGAGAUCAAUGAAGACAUCCUCUUUGCAAUGUAUUGUAAGACCACCCAUUGGAUGAUCAAACCCAAACUCUUCUUCAGCUUGAGCUAACAAGUCUUGAAAUGAUGGUUGGUUCAAGUAUGAUACUGGCACAACAAAUCUCUUCAUUUGACUCUCUCCUACAUAUAAGGCACAAUGACCUUUUGGAACAUCUCCUGAUGUUGAAGACUUCCUUAGGAUUCC